UACCCUUGACAAUGUACGGAAGUUCUGCUGAGAGGUGGAUGUGCCUGAAAGGGAACCGUAACA
Molecule: ribosomal RNA, 63 nt
Filed under: uncultured organism
Description: partial 16S ribosomal RNA
Source: RNAcentral